GGGGUUAACCGGGAAUUUGCAACUACCCAAACCCAAUGUGAACGUUACCAAACUGUUGCCUCGGCGGGGUCACGCCCCGGGUGCGUCGCAGCCCCGGAACCAGGCGCCCGCCGGAGGAACCAACCAAACUCUUUCUGUAGUCCCCUCGCGGACGUAUUUCUUACAGCUCUGAGCAAAAAUUCAAAAUGAAUCAAAACUUUCAACAACGGAUCUCUUGGUUCUGGCAUCGAUGAAGAACGCAGCGAAAUGCGAUAAGUAAUGUGAAUUGCAGAAUUCAGUGAAUCAUCGAAUCUUUGAACGCACAUUGCGCCCGCCAGUAUUCUGGCGGGCAUGCCUGUCCGAGCGUCAUUUCAACCCUCGAACCCCUCCGGGGGAUCGGCGUUGGGGAUCGGGACCCCUCACACGGGUGCCGGCCCCGAAAUACAGUGGCGGUCUCGCCGCAGCCUCUCCUGCGCAGUAGUUUGCACAACUCGCACCGGGAGCGCGGCGCGUCCACGUCCGUAAAACACCCAACUUUCUGAAAUGUUGACCUCGGAUCAGGUAGGAAUACCCGCUGAACUUAAGCAUAUCAAUAAGCAGGAGGAA
This 585-nucleotide ribosomal RNA is filed under the name Trichoderma sp. Hy6. Its description in RNAcentral is "eukaryotic LSU rRNA". The stretch from base 195 to 348 matches the Rfam family "5.8S ribosomal RNA". The record is from RNAcentral. Lineage: Eukaryota; Fungi; Ascomycota; Sordariomycetes; Hypocreales; Hypocreaceae.